This is a small nucleolar RNA of Rhagoletis pomonella (apple maggot), 83 nucleotides long. RefSeq annotates it as small nucleolar RNA Me28S-Gm3113. The transcript has a single exon. The record is from RefSeq and is a predicted model, not a curated record. Lineage: Eukaryota; Metazoa; Arthropoda; Insecta; Diptera; Tephritidae.
AAUAUUUGCGUGAUGAUUAGUGAUUUACCUUGGGACACCUAUGAAAAGCCUGUGAUUAGUGUAAAUUUGUUUUACUGAAAUUU